This is a long non-coding RNA of Manis javanica (Malayan pangolin), 2524 nucleotides long. RefSeq lists it as uncharacterized. NCBI's taxonomy places the organism in Eukaryota, Metazoa, Chordata, Mammalia, Pholidota, Manidae. The record is from RefSeq and is a predicted model, not a curated record.
UCCUCGCCGUGCGCCGCCAGCCGCCUCCAGGUUUAAGGAAGUCGGGAGCCCACGGCGUCUUCAGAUAGGCCCGCGGGCUGUGGACCCAGGCUGCCCGGGGAGAAGCGGCUGAUGGCGGAAGCGGCCCUCCGGGAGACGUGCCCGGGUCAGCGCCCCUUCUCUGCCACGGAGCCGCGGCUGUUCGGGUUGCCGGGCACGGGGCUCGUUCCUUGCCUGCAUUCCUUCCCGUUGACCGGUGCUCGGCCUUCUGUGCUCAGGGUGGUGCGGGCGUAUCUCCUCGAGAGGGCGAGGAACGGCUCACCGAGCCACACGGGCUCACAUCAAGGCCGAUGGCCCGGCUGCGGAGGGGCAGGGGUGGCGCCGGGCGGAGGGCCGCGCGCCGCCCGCGUCCGUGAAGCCUCCUGUCCCGCUGCUGUAGGCACACCUCUACUCCAGCAGGCCUGCCUUCCUCACGCCGCUCGUCUCGACGUUUGGUGCCUUUCGCCUUAUUGAUAUGCCAGGGCUUUGGCGCCCGGGCAAGACGUCCCUUUCCUCUGAACUGUACACAGGACCCUCCGUACUCAGUGUGUUUCCCCAUGUCAUUGCGUUGAUCAAGGAUAGGCAUCUGUCUUCGUAUUCCCAGGUUUCAUACAGAAGACGUACAGGGGCCAAGUCCCGCGGGUGUACUUAUUAAAAAAAAAGUAAAAGGUGUAACUUUUGCCCUUAAGAAGCCCAUAAUGAAUUAAUUGGUUGAAAGACUUUCAUGAAACACUUGAAGACCUGUUUAGGACAAGGAGUAUAAUAUGAAUCCAAAAUAAGGGAAAGAUCGUGGCCUAUAGCUACAAAGGCUAUCCCUACAGAUUUGGUUUUAAAACUGUGAAGAAGUUGUAACAUUUAAGCAACCAUUCCAAGUCUGGAGCCAGAGGGAGGGGCAGGAGAAACAGUAAGAAAUGAAGACAGAAUGGACUUUGUUUUUUAAUGCCAUUGAUUAUGUGGCACGUGGCACAGUGCCACCCAUGUAAUAGACAUACAAUCAGGGACAAAGGUAAAUAAACACAACAGAUAGUGCCCAAAGAGAACUAGAUUUGAAAAUGAGAGUUUUUUUUAAGUCAAAUGUAGAAAGAGAUCAAAAUGACUUGAGAAAAAUGGUAAAUACUGAAGGUUGGCAAAGAAAAUCCUGCAUAUGGAUAAAAAGCCCCUAAUCAAGAACACUAACAACAAAUACAGCACAUUAUAACUCAAGAGAACUUUAUUGUACAAGUAGAAAUAUAUUCUACUUAUAUGUUCAUAUAUAUAAAAAUCGAAAUCUCAUAUUGAAAGAGCAUAUUGUGUACCUGAAGAACACUGAUAAUGAACAACAGCAGAAUGUAUUGUUAAAAUUAUUAGCCUUUACAUUUUGAAAAGUGGUAAUUUAGACCAAAAAGUAAUUUAUAAGAGAAAGAAACUGGAUCAUCAUACAAUUUCAACAUUAGCACCAUACAAGAAGAAAAUGGUGAAACAUUUAAAAUAUUCAAAGAAAAAAAAAACCAAGGAAUGUGUGUGUCCAGCAAAACUUUCAAGUAUAAAAGCGUAGACUGAUUUGUUACCAAAAUGCAAGAGCUCAUAGAAUGUUACCUACUUGAAUUCUUCCUGAAGACUCUACUAGAUGAAGCUCAGCAGUCAAAACAAUUGACAGACAAUGACAGGACGGUUAGUGAACAUAGAUACCUGAUUACGUCUAGAGCUAGGACUAGUUGAGGGCUCAUUUCAGUCAAGGUCCAGUCAAGAUACAGAAAUUACACAGUAAUUUGAACAGAGAGCAUUUACUAUAAAGAAUUGCUAACGGAAUUGAAGUAAAGGGUGGUUAUCUAGUAAGAGGCAAAGAGAACUCCUACCGCAUAGGACUAGUAGAUUAGGGAGCAGCUACUACCCCCAGGACUGAAGUAGCAUGGCCAAGGGAGAGCCCCCCAGCCCCGCUCUCCAGAUCUCGGAGAGGGUAUGACUGUGGCUCCCUAGUGGGCAAAGAACUUCCCUGAGAUGUGACCUCAGGGGGACCUGUCUGGAGGGCCUAGAGAAGCUAUCUGCAGGUGCCUUUCCUCAGAAUUCACCGCCCAGUGCCAGCAGCACACCCCUAGGAAGGCAUCUGAAAGCAGGGUGCUGGGCGGAGCUGCUCCGGGAAGUUGCUGCUUGUUGCCGGCCGCUGGCUGCUCCCGAAAGGAGCCGUGCACUGGGCAGGAGCCCCAGGGGACGAGCACAUGAUAGCCGGAGAGGGACCUCCUCCAGGGCCCUUCACCAACAAUACCUAACAAGCUAGCUGGCACAGGAGGAGUAGUUCCAGAGUUCAGCUCCAUUGUUGCAGAGCAAAGAUGAGCUCAGAGUCAAUAAAUAGGCAUCUAACAGAGUUAAAAGUAUAUAUGGGUUAUAUUCUGAAAUAUUGACAUAAGUUUAAAAUUGGAGGGGAGUACAGGGAAGCAUAGACAAAAAUUAAUGACAGUAUGUUGAUGGUAGUAUUAGUGUUACUAUUUUGAGAAUGUGUAAUGUGGGAUAAAAUGAAUAAUUAUCAUUA